UGUGAGGGUUGCUGGAGGUAUCAGAAGUGCGAAUGCUGACAUAAGUAACGAUAAAGCGGGUGAAAAGCCCGCUCGCCGGAAGACCAAGGGUUCCUGUCCAACGUUAAUCGGGGCAGGGUGAGUCGACCCCUAAGGCGAGGCCGAAAGGCGUAGUCGAUGGGAAACGGGUUAAUAUUCCCGUACUUGGUGUUACUGCGAAGGGGGGACGGAGAAGGCUAUGUUGGCCGGGCGACGGUUGUCCCGGUUUAAGCGUGUAGGUGUGUGUUCCAGGUAAAUCCGGUUCACUUUAACACUGAGGCGUGACGACGAGGCACUACGGUGCUGAAGCAACAAAUGCCCUGCUUCCAGGAAAAGCCUCUAAGCAUCAGGUAACAUCAAAUCGUACCCCAAACCGACACAGGUGGUCAGGUAGAGAAUACCAAGGCGCUUGAGAGAACUCGGGUGAAGGAACUAGGCAAAAUGGUGCCGUAACUUCGGGAGAAGGCACGCUGACACGUAGGUGAAGUGAUUUACUCAUGGAGCUGAAGUCAGUCGAAGAUACCAGCUGGCUGCAACUGUUUAUUAAAAACACAGCACUGUGCAAACACGAAAGUGGACGUAUACGGUGUGACGCCUGCCCGGUGCCGGAAGGUUAAUUGAUGGGGUCAGCGCAAGCGAAGCUCCUGAUCGAAGCCCCGGUAAACGGCGGCCGUAACUAUAACGGUCCUAAGGUAGCGAAAUUCCUUGUCGGGUAAGUUCCGACCUGCACGAAUGGCGUAAUGAUGGCCAGGCUGUCUCCACCCGAGACUCAGUGAAAUUGAACUCGCUGUGAAGAUGCAGUGUACCCGCGGCAAGACGGAAAGACCCCGUGAACCUUUACUAUAGCUUGACACUGAACAUUGAGCCUUGAUGUGUAGGAUAGGUGGGAGGC
Molecule: ribosomal RNA, 910 nt
Filed under: Salmonella enterica subsp. enterica serovar Mbandaka
Lineage: Bacteria; Pseudomonadati; Pseudomonadota; Gammaproteobacteria; Enterobacterales; Enterobacteriaceae
Description: partial 23S ribosomal RNA
Rfam family: Bacterial large subunit ribosomal RNA
Source: RNAcentral